RNAcentral lists this ribosomal RNA (301 nucleotides) under uncultured bacterium. Its description in RNAcentral is "partial 16S ribosomal RNA". It matches the Rfam family "Bacterial small subunit ribosomal RNA", at positions 509 to 807 of the family's 1533-position model. The record is from RNAcentral.
CAGCAGCCGCGGUAAUACAGAGGAUGCAAGCGUUAUCCGGAAUGAUUGGGCGUAAAGCGUCUGUAGGUGGCUUUUCAAGUCCGCCGUCAAAUCCCAGGGCUCAACCCUGGACAGGCGGUGGAAACUACCAAGCUGGAGUACGGUAGGGGCAGAGGGAAUCUCCGGUGGAGCGGUGAAAUGCGUUGAGAUCGGAAAGGACACCAACGGCGAAAGCACUCUGCUGGGCCGACACUGACACUGAGAGACGAAAGCUAGGGGAGCAAAUGGGAUUAGAGACCCCUGUAGUCCCUGUCUCUUAUAC